GAUGAACGCUGGCGGCGUGCCUAAUACAUGCAAGUCGAGCGAACGGACGAGAAGCUUGUUUCUCUGAUGUUAGCGGCGGACGGGUGAGUAACACGUGGAUAACCUACCUAUAAGACUGGGAUAACUUCGGGAAACCGGAGCUAAUACCGGAUGAUAUUUUGAACCGCAUGGUUCAAAAGUGAAAGAUGGUCUUGCUGUCACUUAUAGAUGGAUCGGGGCUGAAUAAGCUAGUGGGUAAGGUAAGGGCCUACAAAGGCAACGUUCGAUGGCCAACUGGAGAGGGGGUCGGGCCACCUUGGAACUGGACACCGGCCCAGCCUCCUAGGGGGGCAACCGGAAGGAAAUCUUCCGCAUUGGGCGAAAGCCUGCCGGAGCAACCCCGGUUGAGUGAUAAAGUUUUUCGGACCGUAAACCUCUGUUAUUAGGGAAGAACAUAUGUGUAAGUAAAUGUGCACAUCUUGACGGUACCUAAUCAGAAAGCCACGGCUAACUACGUG
Molecule: ribosomal RNA, 497 nt
Filed under: uncultured bacterium
Lineage: Bacteria
Description: partial 16S ribosomal RNA
Rfam family: Bacterial small subunit ribosomal RNA
Source: RNAcentral